UCUCUUGUGGUGUAAUGGUUAACAUCUCCGGUUUUCACCCGGAAGCUCCGGGUUCAAUUCCCGGCAAGAGAA
Molecule: transfer RNA, 72 nt
Filed under: Cyphellophora europaea CBS 101466
Lineage: Eukaryota; Fungi; Ascomycota; Eurotiomycetes; Chaetothyriales; Cyphellophoraceae
Description: tRNA-Glu (TTC) (tRNA-Glu-TTC-1-1)
Rfam family: tRNA
About the family: Transfer RNA (tRNA) molecules are approximately 80 nucleotides in length. Their secondary structure includes four short double-helical elements and three loops (D, anti-codon, and T loops).
Source: RNAcentral